AGCCUUCUGUAUCCGUGCUGAGAUUUUGUCAGUGAUCAACCCGCUGACACUGGCUGAUGAAACUUCCCAAAUAAGUGAAGCA
RNAcentral lists this microRNA precursor (82 nucleotides) under Trichobilharzia regenti. RNAcentral's name for it is "mir-3492 microRNA precursor family". It matches the Rfam family "mir-3492 microRNA precursor family". The record is from Rfam by way of RNAcentral. Lineage: Eukaryota; Metazoa; Platyhelminthes; Trematoda; Strigeidida; Schistosomatidae.